UACGGGGGGGGCAAGCGUUGUUCGGAAUUACUGGGCGUAAAGGGCUCGUAGGCGGCCAACUAAGUCAGACGUGAAAUCCCUCGGCUUAACCGGGGAACUGCGUCUGAUACUGGAUGGCUUGAGUUUGGGAGAGGGAUGCGGAAUUCCAGGUGUAGCGGUGAAAUGCGUAGAUAUGUGGAGGAAUACCGGUGGCGAAGGCGGCCUCCUGGUUCAAUACUGACGCUGAGGUGCGAAAGCGUGGGGAGCAAACAGG
Molecule: ribosomal RNA, 253 nt
Filed under: uncultured bacterium
Lineage: Bacteria
Description: partial 16S ribosomal RNA
Rfam family: Bacterial small subunit ribosomal RNA
Source: RNAcentral